RNAcentral lists this ribosomal RNA (483 nucleotides) under uncultured Anaeroplasma sp. Its description in RNAcentral is "bacterial SSU rRNA". It matches the Rfam family "Bacterial small subunit ribosomal RNA", at positions 8 to 507 of the family's 1533-position model. The record is from RNAcentral. Lineage: Bacteria; Bacillati; Mycoplasmatota; Mollicutes; Anaeroplasmatales; Anaeroplasmataceae.
AGAGUUUGAUCCUGGCUCAGGAUUAACGCUGGCGGCGUGCCUAAUACAUGCAAGUCGAACGGAAGUACCUUCGGGUACUUUAGUGGCGAACGGGUGAGUAAUACAUAGGUAACCUACCCUUAAGACGAGGAUAGCCAUUGGAAACGAUGGAUAAAACUGGAUAGGAUAUAGAGGAAGAAUCUUUUAUAUUUAAAAGAGAGAUCUGCUUAAGGAGGGGCCUGUGGCGCAUUAGCUAGUUGGUGGGGUAAGGGCCUACCAAGGCGAUGAUGCGUAGCCGGACUGAGAGGUUGAACGGCCACAAUGGAACUGAGAACGGUCCAUACUCCUACGGGAGGCAGCAGUAGGGAAUUUUCGGCAAUGGGGGGAACCCUGACCGAGCAACGCCGCGUGAACGAAGAAGUUAUUCGUAAUGUAAAGUUCUUUUAUCAGGGAAGAAAGAGGAAUUUGACGGUACCUGAGGAAUAAGCUCCGGCUAACUACGUG